RNAcentral lists this non-coding RNA (333 nucleotides) under Mus musculus (house mouse). RNAcentral's name for it is "Eukaryotic large subunit ribosomal RNA". It matches the Rfam family "Eukaryotic large subunit ribosomal RNA", at positions 961 to 1291 of the family's 3401-position model. Lineage: Eukaryota; Metazoa; Chordata; Mammalia; Rodentia; Muridae. The record is from Rfam by way of RNAcentral.
CCGAAGUUUCCCUCAGGAUAGCUGGCGCUCUCGCUCUUCCCGACACACGCAGUUUUAUCCGGUAAAGCGAAUGAUUAGAGGUCUUGGGGCCGAAACGAUCUCAACCUAUUCACAAACUUUAAAUGGGUAAGAAGCCCGGCUCGCUGGCGUGGAGCUGGGCGUGGAAUGCGAGUGCCUAGUGGGCCACUUUUGGUAAGCAGCUGCGGGAUGAACCGAACGCCGGGUUAAGGCGCCCGACAACGACGCUCAUCAGACCCCAGAAAAGACCCCACUCUGUGCAGGGGAAAAUGAAAGCUCUGUAGCUCAGUUUGUUGGGUCCUCAGGAAUCCUAGG